UACGUAGGGGGCUAGCGUUGUCCGGAAUCAUUGGGCGUAAAGAGCGUGUAGGCGGCCCGGUAAGUCCGCUGUGAAAGUCGGGGGCUCAACCCUCGAAUGCCGGUGGAUACUGUCGGGCUUGAGUACGGAAGAGGCGAGUGGAAUUCCUGGUGUAGCGGUGAAAUGCGCAGAUAUCAGGAGGAACACCAAUUGCGAAGGCAGCUCGCUGGGACGUUACUGACGCUGAGACGCGAAAGCGUGGGGAGCAAACAGG
RNAcentral lists this ribosomal RNA (253 nucleotides) under uncultured bacterium. RNAcentral describes it as "partial 16S ribosomal RNA". It matches the Rfam family "Bacterial small subunit ribosomal RNA", at positions 524 to 776 of the family's 1533-position model. The record is from RNAcentral.